GUGCAGCAGUCGAGAAUACUUUACAAUGUGCGAAAGCACGAUAAGGGAACUCUGAGUGCCUCCUAAGGAGGCUGUUCAGGUGUCUAAAAAGCACCUGGAGUAAGGGCUGGGUAAGACCGGUGCCAGCCGCCGCGGUAACACCGGCAGCCCAGGUGGUAGCCACUUUUAUUGGGUCUAAAGCGUCCGUAGCCGGUUGAGUAAGUUCCUUGGGAAAUUUGGCUGCUCAACAGUCAAGCUUCCAGGGAAUACUGCUCGACUUGGGACUGGGGAGAGGUCAGAGGUACUCCAGGGGUAGGGGUGAAAAUCCAUUAAUCCCUGGGGGACCACCGGUAGCGAAGGCGUCUGACCAGACCAGGUCCGACGGUGAGGGACGAAGGCUAGGGGGCGCGAACCGGAUUAGAUACCCCGGUAGU
This 413-nucleotide ribosomal RNA is filed under the name uncultured microorganism. RNAcentral's name for it is "bacterial SSU rRNA". It matches the Rfam family "Archaeal small subunit ribosomal RNA", at positions 330 to 745 of the family's 1478-position model. The record is from RNAcentral.